AUCCAGCUAACGAGUCCCAAAUAGGACGAAAUGCGCAUCAAAUUGGAG
RNAcentral lists this non-coding RNA (48 nucleotides) under Schistosoma haematobium. Lineage: Eukaryota; Metazoa; Platyhelminthes; Trematoda; Strigeidida; Schistosomatidae. The record is from RNAcentral.